Molecule: unclassified non-coding RNA, 200 nt
Filed under: soil metagenome
Description: partial internal transcribed spacer 2
Source: RNAcentral
UUAAGUUCAGGGGGUAGUCCUGCUCGAUUUCAGGUCAAUGUAUGAAAGUACAAUUUGUGGUAAGCUCGUCCAAGCCCAGCGAUCCCCGUCGAAAUUGUGUUAUUACGACAACGGGUCAAGCCGCUAGUAUAAGGUACAGCUUUUUGUAAUUCAGCCCAGCCCAUCUACAAAGAGACGGGCAAAGGCCAUGAUCCAACACC